GCACAUCAACAAAGUCUUUGUUGACAGCCAAGCAGUGUGAAGUGACACAAACUGUUUGGCAAAUAUUUCGCUAACUGAGCACUUUAUAGUCUUAAAUCUUAAUGAAAACCUUUUUGUAAUAAAUUAUCAAAGUAAAUGGAGCAUUUAAUGCCAGAAAUCAAACCUUUUGCAUCAAAGAAAAGAGCUUCAAGUCACUUCUUGGGACUCCAUAUGCCAGAUGGAUCUAGUGGCAUUCACCAGGCUUCUCCACAAACACAUCAGAGAUCCUCUUUUGGAAGUCAUGAAAUGCAACCUUUUAAUCGGGAGGUAUUUAAUGUUAAGACAUUUGAAGGGGUGUGAUUAGUUGGAC
Camellia sinensis is the source of this 349-nucleotide non-coding RNA. Lineage: Eukaryota; Viridiplantae; Streptophyta; Magnoliopsida; Ericales; Theaceae. The record is from RefSeq and is a predicted model, not a curated record.